Molecule: ribosomal RNA, 492 nt
Filed under: uncultured bacterium
Lineage: Bacteria
Description: partial 16S ribosomal RNA
Rfam family: Bacterial small subunit ribosomal RNA
Source: RNAcentral
AGUGAACGCUGGCGGUAGGCCUAACACAUGCAAGUCGAACGGCAGCACAGUGAGAGCUUGCUCUUACGGGUGGCGAGUGGCGGACGGGUGAGGAAUACAUCGGAAUCUACUUUUUCGUGGGGGAUAACGUAGGGAAACUUACGCUAAUACCGCAUACGACCUACGGGUGAAAGCAGGGGAUCUUCGGACCUUGCGCGAUUGAAUGAGCCGAUGUCGGAUUAGCUAGUUGGCGGGGUAAAGGCCCACCAAGGCGACGAUCCGUAGCUGGUCUGAGAGGAUGAUCAGCCACACUGGAACUGAGACACGGUCCAGACUCCUGCGGGAGGCAGCAGUGGGGAAUAUUGGACAAUGGGCGCAAGCCUGAUCCAGCCAUACCGCGUGGGUGAAGAAGGCCUUCGGGUUGUAAAGCCCUUUUGUUGGGAAAGAAAAGCAGCAGGUUAAUACCCCGCUGUUCUGACGGUACCCAAAGAAUAAGCACCGGCUAACUUCGUG